AGAGUUUGAUCAUGGCUCAGGACGAACGCUGGCGGUAUGCUUAACACAUGCAAGUCAAGGAGAAAGCUUCCUUCGGGAGAUGAUUAAACUGGCGCACGGGUGAGUAAUAUGUAAGCAAUCUACCCAUAGGUUUGGAAUAACAUCGAGAAAUCGGUACUAAUACCAAAUGAAAUAAUUCUUUCGCAUGGUUGAAUUAUUAAAGUACUUGAUACGCCAAUGGAUGAGCUUGCAUCUGAUUAGUUUGUUGGUGAGGUAAUGGCUCACCAAGACUACGAUCAGUAGCUGGUCUGAGAGGAUGAUCAGCCACAUUGGAACUGAGACACGGUCCAGACUCCUACGGGAGGCAGCAGUGAGGAAUAUUGGGCAAUGGACGAAAGUCUGACCCAGCAAUACCGCGUGGAGGAUGAAUGUCGUAAGAUUGUAAACUCCUUUUAGAGGGGACGAAAAAACAGGUUGAUAGCCUGAAUUGACGGUACCCUCAGAAUAAGCCCCGGCUAACUACGU
This 504-nucleotide ribosomal RNA is filed under the name uncultured bacterium. RNAcentral describes it as "bacterial SSU rRNA". It matches the Rfam family "Bacterial small subunit ribosomal RNA", at positions 8 to 506 of the family's 1533-position model. The record is from RNAcentral.